GUUAAGGUGGCAGAGCCUGGUAAAUGCAAAAGACCUAAGCCCUUUUACCCAGAGGUUCAAAUCCUCUCCUUAACU
This 75-nucleotide transfer RNA is filed under the name Gymnura altavela (spiny butterfly ray). RNAcentral describes it as "tRNA-Leu". It matches the Rfam family "tRNA". Rfam says of the family: Transfer RNA (tRNA) molecules are approximately 80 nucleotides in length. Their secondary structure includes four short double-helical elements and three loops (D, anti-codon, and T loops). Further hydrogen bonds mediate the characteristic L-shaped molecular structure. tRNAs have two regions of fundamental functional importance: the anti-codon, which is responsible for specific mRNA codon recognition, and the 3' end, to which the tRNAs corresponding amino acid is attached (by aminoacyl-tRNA synthetases). tRNAs cope with the degeneracy of the genetic code in two manners: having more than one tRNA (with a specific anti-codon) for a particular amino acid; and 'wobble' base-pairing, i.e. permitting non-standard base-pairing at the 3rd anti-codon position. Lineage: Eukaryota; Metazoa; Chordata; Chondrichthyes; Myliobatiformes; Gymnuridae. The record is from RNAcentral.